Molecule: ribosomal RNA, 251 nt
Filed under: uncultured bacterium
Lineage: Bacteria
Description: partial 16S ribosomal RNA
Source: RNAcentral
CUGCUGCCUUCCGUAGGAGUUUGGGCCGUGUCUCAGUCCCAAUGUGGCCGGUCACCCUCUCAGGUCGGCUACUGAUCGUCGCCUUGGUGAGCCGUUACCUCACCAACUAGCUAAUCAGACGCGGGUCCAUCUCAUACCACCGGAGUUUUUCACACAAAGAUAUGCAUCCCCGUGCGCUUAUGCGGUAUUAGCAGUCAUUUCUAACUGUUAUCCCCCUGUAUGAGGCAGGUUACCCACGCGUUACUCACCCG